CGCGGGGCUGCUGAACACUUGAAAUGUGGCUGGUUCGGGUUAAAAUAUACUAUUUCCCUCCAUGGAUUACAGUUGACCGUUGAACAACAUGGAGUUGAACUGCAUGAGGCUGCUCGUAUUUUUUUCUGCCUCUGCCACCCCUGAGACAGCAAGAUCAAUCCUUCCUCCUCCUCCUCCUCCUCAGCCGACUCAAAGACCAUGAGGAUGAAGACCUAUACGAUGAUCCACUUCCAUUU
RNAcentral lists this long non-coding RNA (236 nucleotides) under Pan troglodytes (chimpanzee). Its description in RNAcentral is "long non-coding RNA NONPTRT004092". The record is from RNAcentral. Lineage: Eukaryota; Metazoa; Chordata; Mammalia; Primates; Hominidae.